Molecule: ribosomal RNA, 480 nt
Filed under: Vibrio diabolicus
Lineage: Bacteria; Pseudomonadati; Pseudomonadota; Gammaproteobacteria; Vibrionales; Vibrionaceae
Description: bacterial SSU rRNA
Rfam family: Bacterial small subunit ribosomal RNA
Source: RNAcentral
UCUGAGAGGAUGAUCAGCCACACUGGAACUGAGACACGGUCCAGACUCCUACGGGAGGCAGCAGUGGGGAAUAUUGCACAAUGGGCGCAAGCCUGAUGCAGCCAUGCCGCGUGUGUGAAGAAGGCCUUCGGGUUGUAAAGCACUUUCAGUCGUGAGGAAGGUUCAUGCGUUAAUAGCGUAUGGAUUUGACGUUAGCGACAGAAGAAGCACCGGCUAACUCCGUGCCAGCAGCCGCGGUAAUACGGAGGGUGCGAGCGUUAAUCGGAAUUACUGGGCGUAAAGCGCAUGCAGGUGGUUUGUUAAGUCAGAUGUGAAAGCCCGGGGCUCAACCUCGGAAUUGCAUUUGAAACUGGCAGACUAGAGUACUGUAGAGGGGGGUAGAAUUUCAGGUGUAGCGGUGAAAUGCGUAGAGAUCUGAAGGAAUACCGGUGGCGAAGGCGGCCCCCUGGACAGAUACUGACACUCAGAUGCGAAAGCGUG